Molecule: ribosomal RNA, 474 nt
Filed under: uncultured bacterium
Lineage: Bacteria
Description: bacterial SSU rRNA
Rfam family: Bacterial small subunit ribosomal RNA
Source: RNAcentral
ACUCCUACGGGAGGCAGCAGUAGGGAAUCUUCCACAAUGGACGAAAGUCUGAUGGAGCAACGCCGCGUGAGUGAAGAAGGGUUUCGGCUCGUAAAACUCUGUUGUUAAAGAAGAACAUAUCUGAAAGUAACUGUUCAGGUAUUGACGGUAUUUAACCAGAAAGCCACGGCUAACUACGUGCCAGCAGCCGCGGUAAUACGUAGGUGGCAAGCGUUGUCCGGAUUUAUUGGGCGUAAAAGCGAGCGCAGGCGGUUUUUAAGUCUGAUGUGAAAGCCUUCGGCUCAACCGAAGAAGUGCAUCGGAAACUGGGAAACUUGAGUGCAGAAGAGGACAGUGGAACUCCAUGUGUAGCGGUGAAAUGCGUAGAUAUAUGGAAGAACACCAGUGGCGAAGGCGGCUGUCUGGUCUGUAACUGACGCUGAGGCUCGAAAGUAUGGGUAGCAAACAGGAUUAGAUACCCCUGGUAGGAUAGCG